UAACAUGUGUGCAAGUCGUAGGGUCUGCUUUUAAACGAGCUAAACCCGAUGGCGAAAUGAAAGUGAAGGCCGCCCCCUAGUGGGGAAGCAGAACGGCCGAGGCGAGAUCCUAAAAAAGCCGCGUUCUCGGACCGGCGAAAUUUUUAAAAAAAACCGGACAUGGUAGGCACGUUGGCGGUCGUCAGAAACCGCCGACGGUCCGGAGGCGCAUCGCCGGCCCGUCUCGAUUGCUCCGAUCUUCUGUGCCUUCUCUCUAUUUCCGUCCGUGCGUUUUCGGUCCUUUCGGGGGUCGGUUCGCGCCUCGGAUCGGAGUUGGCGUCGGUCGAAAGGAACUGUAGUCAAUGAGGCGGAGCAAGAGCACACACGUUGGGACCCGAAAGAUGGUGAACUAUGCCCGGGCAGGACGAAGCCAGAGGAAACUCUGGUGGAGGUCCGCAGCGAUUCUGACGUGCAAAUCGAUCGUCGGACCUGGGUAUAGGGGCGAAAGACUAAUCGAACCGUCUAGUAGCUGGUUCCCUCCGAAGUUUCCCUCAGGAUAGCUGGCGCUCGGAAACGAAAAAUGAAAAAAAACGAAACAGUCUCAUCCGGUAAAGCGAAUGAUUAGAGGCAUUGGGGCCGAAACGGCCUCAACCUAUUCUCAAACUUUCAAUGGGUGAGAUGUCCGGCUUGCUUAACGAAUAAAAACGGGGGCGGUCGGUCGGGCUUGUUGGUGCGUUUGCUUUUCCUUCUCGGAGGUUUGGCUUCGUGUUGUCGAGUACCCGUCGGCCGCAAGCCCUUGAAGCACGGACGUAGGAUGCGAGUGCCCAGUGGGCCACUUUUGGUAAGCAGAACUGGCGCUGUGGGAUGAACCAAAAGCCGGGUUACGGCGCCCGAUGCGGACGCUUAUCAGACCCCAUGAAAGGUGUUGGUUGCUAUUGACAGCAGGACGGUGGCCAUGGAAGUCGGAAUCCGCUAAGGAGUGUGUAACAACUCACCUGCCGAAGCAACUAGCCCUGAAAAUGGAUGGCGCUCCAGCGUCGAGCCUAACCCCGGCCGCCGGACGGCAUUGAAACUGAACUGAUUAACAAAAAAUCGAUGCCCCGGCGAGUAGGAGGGUCGCGGUGGUGAGCGUUGAAGGGAUCGGGCGCGAGCCUGCCUGGAGCCGCCACCGG
Molecule: ribosomal RNA, 1151 nt
Filed under: Strigamia korsosi
Lineage: Eukaryota; Metazoa; Arthropoda; Chilopoda; Geophilomorpha; Linotaeniidae
Description: partial 28S ribosomal RNA
Rfam family: Eukaryotic large subunit ribosomal RNA
Source: RNAcentral